Molecule: ribosomal RNA, 496 nt
Filed under: uncultured bacterium
Lineage: Bacteria
Description: partial 16S ribosomal RNA
Rfam family: Bacterial small subunit ribosomal RNA
Source: RNAcentral
GAUGAACGCUGGCGGCGUGCCUAAUACAUACAAGUCGAGCGAACGGACGAGAAGCUUGCUUCUCUGAUGUUAGCGGCGGACGGGUGAGUAACACGUGGAUAACCUACCUAUAAGACUGGGAUAACUUCGGGAAACCGUAGCUAAUACCGGAUAAUAUUUUGAACCGCAUGGUUCAAAAGUGAAAGACGGUCUUGCUGUCACUUAUAGAUGGAUCCGCGCUGCAUUAGCUAGUUGGUAAGGUAACGGCUUACCAAGGCAACGAUGCAUAGCCGACCUGAGAGGGUGAUCGGCCACACUGGAACUGAGACACGGUCCAGACUCCUACGGGAGGCAGCAGUAGGGAAUCUUCCGCAAUGGGCGAAAGCCUGACGGAGCAACGACGCGUGAGUGAUGAAGGUCUUCGGAUCGUAAAACGCUGUUAUUAGGGAAGAACAUAUGUGUAAGUAACUGUGCACAUCUUGACGGUACCUAAUCAGAAAGCCACGGCUAACUACGU